RNAcentral lists this ribosomal RNA (862 nucleotides) under uncultured bacterium. RNAcentral's name for it is "SSU rRNA". It matches the Rfam family "Bacterial small subunit ribosomal RNA", at positions 524 to 1381 of the family's 1533-position model. The record is from RNAcentral.
UACGGAAGAGGCAAGCGUUAUCCGGAAUUAUUGGGCGUAAAGCGUCCGCAGNGCGGCCUAUUUAAGUCAUGUUGUUAAAGCGUGAAGCUUAACUCCAUUUCAGCAAUGGAAACUGUUAAGGCUUGAGUGAGGAAGGGGCAGAGGAAAUUCCCGGGGUAGCGGUGAAAUGCGUAGAUAUCGGAGAAAAACACCAGUGGCGAAGGCGCUCUGCUGGGCCAUAACUGACGCUCAUGGACAAAAGCCAGGGAAGCGAAGGGGAUUAGAUACCCCUGUAGUCCUGGCCGUAAACGAGGAACACUAGAUGUCGAGAGAAUCGACCCCCUCGGAGUCGUACCCAACGCGUUAAGUGCUCCGCCUGGGGAGUUCGCACGCAAGUGUGAAACUCAAAGGAAUUGACGGGGGCCCGCACAAGCGGUGGAGUAUGUGGUUUAAUUCGAUGCAACGCGAAGAACCUUACCAGGGUUUGACAUCCUGCGAAUCCCUUGGAAACGAGGGAGUCCAUUCGGGAGCGCAGUGACAGGUGGUCCAUGGCUGUCGUCAGCUCGUCUCGUGAGAUGUUGGGUUAAGUGCCUCAACGAGCCCAAGACACGUCGUUAGUUUCCAGCAUUCAGUUGGGCACUCUAGCGAGGCCGCCGGUGAUAAACCGGAGGAAGGUGUGGAUGACGUCAAGUCAUCAUGCCCCUUACAUCCUGGGCUACACACGUACUACAAUGCUACGGACAAAGGGCAGCAAACUCGCGAGAGGUAGCAAAUCCCAUAAAUCGUGGCUCAGUUCAGAUGGUAGGCUGCAAUUCGCUUCCGUGAAGGAGGAAUCGUUAGUAAUCGCAGUUCAGCAUACUGCGGUGAAUUCGUUCCCGGGCCU